AACGAACGCUGGCGGCAUGCCUAACACAUGCAAGUCGAACGAGACCUUCGGGUCUAUUCGCCCACGGGUUCGUAACGCGUGGGAACCUUCCCUUAUGUUCGGCCUAACUCCCCGAAAGGGGUGCUAAUACCGGACCAUGGCUUCUGACCAAGGAUUUAUCGCCCUUGGUUGUGCCCGCGUUGGAUUCGCUAGUUGGUAGGGUAAAAGCAUACCACGGCGAGGAUCCAUAGCUGGUUUGAGAGGAUGAUCACCCACACUGGGACUGAGACACGGCCCAGACUCUUACGGGAGGCAGGAGUGGGGAAUAGUGGAAAAUGGGCGAAAGCAUGAUGGAGCAAUGACGGGAGAGCGAUGAAGGCAUUGGGGUUGUAAAGCUCUUUCAACCGGGAUGAUAAUGACAGUACCGGGAGAAUAAGCUCCGGCUAACUCCGUG
RNAcentral lists this ribosomal RNA (433 nucleotides) under uncultured bacterium. RNAcentral's name for it is "partial 16S ribosomal RNA". It matches the Rfam family "Bacterial small subunit ribosomal RNA", at positions 29 to 507 of the family's 1533-position model. The record is from RNAcentral.